Long non-coding RNA from Hermetia illucens (black soldier fly), 360 nucleotides. RefSeq lists it as uncharacterized. The transcript is spliced from 3 exons. The record is from RefSeq and is a predicted model, not a curated record. Lineage: Eukaryota; Metazoa; Arthropoda; Insecta; Diptera; Stratiomyidae.
AUUUACAGUACCAACAAAAUUGAUGAGAUCAUUGACUGUCCUGAAUAGCAUCUGAAAUUCUUAAUCAUCAUCACCGAGAACUACGCAGCAGGAAAAUAGAACAAAUCCAGUGAAUGAAAAUAAACGUGUAAUGAAUACUUAAAACGAGGGUUCUUUGAAAGAUAUUUGCAACUGGAAAGUCCAAAGAAAUUAGUGAAUUGCUUGUAUUGGUCAGUAAUUUGGCAGUAACUUCUCAAAAAGGUUAAAGAAAAUUGAAUUCAUCUUCAUUAGGAUGGGGUGCACGAAGGCUUAACGUGAGGACAGAAUUAUUAUUUUCAGAUUCAGUGAGCCAGAUGCAUACUGACAUUUAAUUCGAUUUAA